AUACAGUGGUGCCCCGCAAGACGAAUGCCUCGCAAGAUGAAAAACUCGCUAGACGAAAGGGUUUUUUGUUUUUUGAGCUGCUUCGCAAGACGAAUUUCCCUAUGGGCUUGCUUCGCAAGACGAAACGUCUUGCGAGUUCUUGCGAGUUUGUUUCCUUUUUCUUAAAGCCACUAAGCCGUUAAUAGCCGCUAAGCCGUUAAUAGCCGCUAAGCCACUAAUAGCCGUGCUUCGCAAGACGAAAAAACCGCAAGACGAAGAGACUCGCGGAACGG
RNAcentral lists this long non-coding RNA (272 nucleotides) under Podarcis lilfordi (Lilford's wall lizard). Lineage: Eukaryota; Metazoa; Chordata; Lepidosauria; Squamata; Lacertidae. The record is from RNAcentral.